GAAUUGAAGAGUUUGAUCAUGGCUCAGAUUGAACGCUGGCGGCAGGCUUAACACAUGCAAGUCGAACGGUAGCAGGAAGAAGCUUGCUUCUUUGCUGACGAGUGGCGGACGGGUGAGUAAUGCUUGGGAAUCUGGCUUAUGGAGGGGGAUAACUACGGGAAACUGUAGCUAAUACCGCGUAGUAUCGAGAGAUGAAAGACUGGG
RNAcentral lists this ribosomal RNA (204 nucleotides) under Glaesserella parasuis. Its description in RNAcentral is "partial 16S ribosomal RNA". It matches the Rfam family "Bacterial small subunit ribosomal RNA", at positions 1 to 212 of the family's 1533-position model. The record is from RNAcentral. Lineage: Bacteria; Pseudomonadati; Pseudomonadota; Gammaproteobacteria; Pasteurellales; Pasteurellaceae.